GAUGAACGCUGACAGAAUGCUUAACACAUGCAAGUCAACUUGAAGCAGUUUCGGCUGUGGAUGGUGGCGGACGGGUGAGUAACGCGUAAAUAACUUGCCCUUUAGACUGGGACAACUGUUGGAAACGACAGCUAAUACCGGAUAUUAUGAAACCUUGACAUCAAGGGAUUAUGAAAGCUAUAUGCGCUAGAGGAGAGAUUUGCGUCCUAUUAGCUAGUUGGUGAGGUAAUGGCUCACCAAGGCGACGAUAGGUAGCCGGCCUGAGAGGGUGAACGGCCACAAGGGGACUGAGACACGGCCCUUACUCCUACGGGAGGCAGCAGUGGGGAAUAUUGGACAAUGGACCAAGAGUCUGAUCCAGCAAUUCUGUGUGUUUGAUGAAGGCCUUCGGGUUGUAAAGAACUUUAAGUAGGGAAGAAGAAAGUGACGGUACCUACAGAAUAAGCGACGGCUAAAUACGUGCCAGCCGCCGCCGUAA
RNAcentral lists this ribosomal RNA (478 nucleotides) under uncultured bacterium. RNAcentral's name for it is "partial 16S ribosomal RNA". It matches the Rfam family "Bacterial small subunit ribosomal RNA", at positions 28 to 523 of the family's 1533-position model. The record is from RNAcentral.